Molecule: non-coding RNA, 148 nt
Filed under: Nomascus leucogenys (northern white-cheeked gibbon)
Lineage: Eukaryota; Metazoa; Chordata; Mammalia; Primates; Hylobatidae
Source: Rfam by way of RNAcentral
GCUGGGCAUGGUGGUGCAUGCCCAUAGUCCCAGCUACACAGGAGGCUGAGGUAGGAGGAUCACUUGAGCACAGGAGGUCAAGGCUGCAGUCAGCCAUGAUCAUGCCACUGCACUCCAGCCUGGGCAACAGAGUGAGACCCUGUCUCAU